This 253-nucleotide ribosomal RNA is filed under the name uncultured bacterium. RNAcentral's name for it is "partial 16S ribosomal RNA". It matches the Rfam family "Bacterial small subunit ribosomal RNA", at positions 524 to 776 of the family's 1533-position model. The record is from RNAcentral.
GACGAACCGUCCAAACGUUAUUCGGAAUCACUGGGCUUACAGAGUUCGUAGGCGGUCUGGAAAGUUGGGUGUGAAAUCCCUCGACUCAACCGAGGAACUGCGCUCAAAACUACCCGACUCGAGGGAGAUAGAGGAAAGCGGAACUGAUGGUGGAGCGGUGAAAUGCGUUGAUAUCAUCAGGAACACCGGUGGCGAAGGCGGCUUUCUGGGUCUUACCUGACGCUGAGGAACGAAAGCUAGGGGAGCGAACGGG